UUGAGAGUACUACUCAUUUACUCUAGCUUAUCUACGAGUUGCGGUUGGAUUUAUCAAUGAGAUUUGUUUUUUGUCUAUAAGAGUUACCUGGUAUGCAUUAUUGCAUACGUCCUAGACCACAUCCAACAUACUUGAUCUGUUAUUUUUUUCCUCAUUUUGUUUCCAAUUACAGUAUCAUUAAUCUUUGGCUUUAUAUUAGAAAAAAUCAUGCCUCCUUUUAUAGAUCAGAAGCAUCUACGGAUCCAUGAACAUGCCCUCCUUUCUUUCAAUCAUGGUGUAAAAUAUGUGAUCGGUUAUUGCAACAAGGUAAGUUAUGAUAAAUGCAUAUAUGUACAUGUUCCGCUGCUCAGUAUAUAUAGUGAAGUCCCGUUGGCGUAUGUAUUAUUACCCUGGUGUUACAUUUAAUCUAUUAGGAUCUGUCCUCACAUACAUACACACAGAGAGAUUUCAGAUGUGCACAUUCUGUACCUUUUCGUUAACAAGGAUUUAGUUGAUUUGUUCUUUAGUUUUUGUUUCCAGAAAUUUCAGCUAAGAUAUAAAGGCCAGAAAAGGUUGAGCAAAAGAAUGUGUGUAUUGCUGCAACUGAUAAAGGCUUGUCUGGUGUGAAAUUGUGCGCCAGAUUAUUAUCAGGAAACCCACUGCAGAGACUGAUGCUCAGUGAUACACACUUUGAGAUCAUUUCGAAGCAAGCUAAAGUAGGUUGUUCUGAUUGAUAUAGGAGGUGAAGCAUUUGAACAUUGAAGUCUCCAGAGUAUAAGCGCCUGAAAUUAUUGCUGAAGUAAAUUAGGAAGGUUAUCUUGCAGCUUCAUGUGCUAUUUUUUUAUCCUCUGAAAGUAUAUGCAAUA
Lolium rigidum is the source of this 845-nucleotide long non-coding RNA. RefSeq lists it as uncharacterized. NCBI's taxonomy places the organism in Eukaryota, Viridiplantae, Streptophyta, Magnoliopsida, Poales, Poaceae. The record is from RefSeq and is a predicted model, not a curated record. The transcript is spliced from 3 exons.